UACCGUGUGGCGUGUGAUCUCGGUCGCAGCAGGUGACUGCAAGGACUGAACAGGACCACGGGACCAUGCAUUGAGCGUGCUGCAUGCGCCAGACUCGAGGUGUGAUCAGCAUUGAAAAUAAUGCCUGCCCCAGCUGCCACAUAUGAAAGAGUAGUUUACAAAAACCCUUCUGAGCACCACUACAUGAAAGUCUGCCUAGAAUUUCAAGAUCGUGGAGUUGGACUGAAUGCUGCACAGUUUAAACAGCUGCUUAUUUCAGCCCUAAAAGACCUGUUUGGGGAGGUUGAUGCUGCCUUACCUUUGGAUGUCCUAACUUAUGAAGAGAAGAACUUGUCAGCCAUCUUGAGAAUAUGUAGCAGUGGUCUUGUCAAAUUGUGGAGCUCUUUGACCCUAUUAGGAUCCUAUAAAGGCAAAAAAUGUGCUUUCAGAGUGAUUCAGGUUUCUCCAUUUCUCCUUGCAUUAUCUGGUAAUAGUAGGGAACUAGCAUUGGAUUGAAUGAGUCGUCUUCAAUUUC
RNA transcript from Carlito syrichta (Philippine tarsier), 514 nucleotides. It is a transcript of the gene named ribonuclease P protein subunit p14 pseudogene, with no coding region annotated. The transcript has a single exon. The record is from RefSeq and is a predicted model, not a curated record. Lineage: Eukaryota; Metazoa; Chordata; Mammalia; Primates; Tarsiidae.